GAAUAUGAGGACUAUCUGGCUGCAACAUCCAUCACCCUAAUGAUGGCCAGAGUUGAUUCAGCUGAUCUGGCUGUCUAGGCAGGUGUCCCCUUCUUCCCUUCACCACUCCACACAUGCAUCCAUCCUGAAGCUGUACACUUAGUCAAAGAGGACAACUUGUCCCGAUAGAGGAGAACCUUCCCUGAGAAAGGAGUACUGUCCUUCGCUUACGGAUAUAUGAACAGCUGCGUUCCACUGCUAGAACCUCCAAAACAAGCUCUAACAUUGGGGCAGCUAGCCUCAAAGACGGCCCUAAACAAUUCUUGCCUCUUGAUAUU
RNAcentral lists this small nuclear RNA (317 nucleotides) under Tursiops truncatus (common bottlenose dolphin). Its description in RNAcentral is "7SK RNA (ENSTTRG00000022718.1)". It matches the Rfam family "7SK RNA". Rfam says of the family: 7SK was discovered as an abundant small nuclear RNA in the mid-70s but a possible function has only recently been suggested. The record is from RNAcentral. Lineage: Eukaryota; Metazoa; Chordata; Mammalia; Artiodactyla; Delphinidae.